This 473-nucleotide ribosomal RNA is filed under the name uncultured organism. RNAcentral's name for it is "partial 16S ribosomal RNA". It matches the Rfam family "Bacterial small subunit ribosomal RNA", at positions 335 to 799 of the family's 1533-position model. The record is from RNAcentral.
ACUCCUACGGGAGGCAGCAGUGGGGAAUAUUGCACAAUGGGCGCAAGCCUGAUGCAGCCAUGCCGCGUGUAUGAAGAAGGCCUUCGGGUUGUAAAGUACUUUCAGCGGGGAGGAAGGCGAUAAGGUUAAUAACCUUGUCGAUUGACGUUACCCGCAGAAGAAGCACCGGCUAACUCCGUGCCAGCAGCCGCGGUAAUACGGAGGGUGCAAGCGUUAAUCGGAAUUACUGGGCGUAAAGCGCACGCAGGCGGUCUGUCAAGUCGGAUGUGAAAUCCCCGGGCUCAACCUGGGAACUGCAUUCGAAACUGGCAGGCUAGAGUCUUGUAGAGGGGGGUAGAAUUCCAGGUGUAGCGGUGAAAUGCGUAGAGAUCUGGAGGAAUACCGGUGGCGAAGGCGGCCCCCUGGACAAAGACUGACGCUCAGGUGCGAAAGCGUGGGGAGCAAACAGGAUUAGAAACCCCUGUAGUCCCAUG